CGUCGCAAUCUCUGCAGUCUAAUUCCCCACCGCCGUCUCCUCCUCGGAUCUGCUGAAGCAGCCGUAACAAAGUGUCAUAGGUCCCCGCCGCAGCAGCAGUGUGGAGCGCAGUCCAACCUUUGGACUGUGUCGCCGGAUUCGAGCGAGGUAUUAUUCCCUUUGCUUUUGAGAUUGUGGCGGAGGCGGUCGGAAUGAUGGGCCCGAUAGUAUUGUCGGAGGGCUCUAGACCGAGACCGGCUUCGAGUAGUAAUUCAAGGAUGGUUGGGUCGUGACAGGAAGAAGAAGCUCGGAGAAGAUAAGCGGUGUCCGAUGAGUUGAUCAGAGGAGGCACCAUACAUUUCUGCCGCCG
Molecule: long non-coding RNA, 349 nt
Filed under: Zostera marina
Lineage: Eukaryota; Viridiplantae; Streptophyta; Magnoliopsida; Alismatales; Zosteraceae
Description: long non-coding RNA (ZMAR_LNC001630)
Source: RNAcentral